This is an RNA transcript of Oncorhynchus keta (chum salmon), 3878 nucleotides long. It is a transcript of the gene named nuclear transcription factor Y subunit alpha-like, with no coding region annotated. The transcript has 8 exons. The record is from RefSeq and is a predicted model, not a curated record. Lineage: Eukaryota; Metazoa; Chordata; Actinopteri; Salmoniformes; Salmonidae.
UGUGUAUUGGAAGGGGUUUAGGAGAAAUGUACCUACGGAAGAAUGUUAAUGCCAUGAGUUUGGGCUAGGUUGUGGCUUUACUCAUUGUGUGGUGAAAGUUCCUGGGCAUUGGCCACAGUAGCUGUGUGUUAACCCAUUCAUAGAAGCAAACUACCUUUAGCGCCUAUUGUAUCAACGUCAACAAAACAAAGGAGAUGAUUGUGGACUUCAAGAAACAGCAGAGGGAGCACCCCCCUAUCCACAUCGACGGGACAGUAGUGGAGAGGGUAGUACGUUUUAAGUUCCUCGGUGUACACAUCACGGACAAACUGAAUUGGUCCACCCACACAGACAGCAUUGUGAAGAAGGCGCAGAAGAAAUUCUGCUUGUCACCAAAAGCACUCACAAACUUUUACAGAAAGAGAGCAUCCUGUCGGGCUGUAUCAACGCCUGGUACGGAAACUGCUCCGCCCACAACCAUAAGGCUCUCCAGAGGGUAGUGAGGUCUGCACAACGCAUCACUGGGGACAAACUACCUGCCCUCCAGGACACCUACACCACCUGAUGUCAAAGGAAGGCCAUAAAGAUCAUCAAGGGCAAGAACCACCCAAGCCACUGCCUGUUCACCCCACUAUCAUCCAGAAGGCGAGGUCAGUACAGGUGCAUCAAAGCAGGGACCGAGAGACUGAAAAACAGCUUCUAUCUCAAGGCCAUCAGACUGUUAAACAGCCACCACUAACAUUGAGUGGCUGCUGCCAACAUACUGACUCAACUCCAGCCACUUUAAUAAUGGAAAUUGAUGUAAAAAAAAAAAUGUAUCACUAGCCACUUUAAACAAUGCCACUUAAUAUAAUGUUUACAUACCCUACAUUACUCAUCUCAUAUUUAUAUACUGUACUCGAUACCAUCGACUGCAUCUUGCCUAUGCCGUUCUGUACCAUCAUUCAUUCAUAUACCUUUAUGUACAUAUUCUUUAUCCCUUUACACGUGUGUGUAUAAGGUAGCAGUUGUGGAAUUGUUAGGUUAAAUUACUCGUUGGUUACUACUGCAUUGUCGGAACUAGAAGCACAAGCAUUUUGCUACACUCGCAUUAACAUUUGCUAACCAUGUGUAUGUGACAAAUAACAUUUGAUUUAUUGAAGAUUUUAAUCUUCUGGCCAGGGGAGUUUUGUUAAGAGCCCCGACGACGUUCGUUCUGAAUGUUAAAAUUCAUCGCUUGCAGUAUGGUUUUGGAAACAUAAGGAACGUUUCUUCCAUAUCAGCAAGAAGAAAAAAAUGGUUAAAUUAGUACACACCUUUUAUAGGUUUAGUGUUCCCACGUGGCCAUAUCUCCAUGUUACAGCUCUUGUUUACGGAAUACAGACAGAAGACAGGAGACCUGUUCGUAUUAGCUAUCGUGCGAACACCUGUGUGUAAGCGGUUCGUCAAUUUGAGGCACACACAGCAUAUGAAUCUGUGUAAAACUGUUACAGUGCAGGGUCAGCCUCUGAUGGUGCAGGUCAGCGGUGGUCAGCUCAUCACCUCAUCGGGCCAGCCCAUUAUGGUCAUGGGGGGGCAGGGAGGGCAGGGGCAGACCAUCAUGCAGGUGCCCAUGUCUGGAGCUCAGGGGCUCCAACAGAUCCAGCUGGUGCAGCCAGGUCAGAUCCAGCUCCAGGGGGGACAGACUCUACAGGUACAGGGUCAGCAAGGCCAGACCCAGCAGUUCAUCAUUCAGCAGCCCCAAACUGCUGUGACCGCAGGACAAAACCAGGGCCAGCAGCAGAUUACAUUACAGCCGGGGCAGCAAGUGGCUCAGACUGCAGACGGCCAGACCAUUGUGUACCAGCCAGUCAAUGCUGAUGGGUCCAUUCUACAGCAAGGUAUGAUUACCAUCCCUGCCUCUAGUCUGGCUGGUGCUCAGAUUGUUCAGGCAGGCAACAGCACCAACACAACAAACAGUAGUCAGGGUACAGUGACCGUCACACUGCCUGGCAACAUGGUCAACGCAGGUGGCAUGGUCAUGAUGGUUCCGGGUGGCGGUGGCAGUGUUCCCACCAUGCAGCGUAUCCCCCUGCCGGGAGCGGAGAUGCUGGAGGAGGAGCCUCUGUAUGUCAACGCUAAGCAGUACCACCGCAUCCUGAAGAGACGGCAGGCCCGCGCCAAGCUGGAGGCAGAGGGAAAGAUCCCCAAGGAGAGGAGGAAAUACCUGCACGAGUCUCGUCACAAGCACGCCAUGGCGAGGAAGAGGGGUGAUGGCGGACGCUUUUUCUCGCCGAAGGAGAGGGAGGAGAUGGCUCUGGCCAUGCAGGUGAGGAGGGCUCAGGGUGCCCUCAAACAAGAGGACGUGUUUGGAGGUGUUGAACUCAACUCUAAUUGGCAACCUACUUCUGUUGCCUCCCUCAGCUAACCAACAAGUAGCAGCCAUUUCCACCCCUCACUCUGUCACAUGUCCACCGCAGCCACUCAUUUCCCCUGCACUCUUAAAAUGGUCAUCAUUGCUAUCUUUGUAUGUUUUUAUUAGAUUGGUUACCUUGUAGUUUUGUAUCAAAGAAUAGUAUAGUUUUUUACAAGUUAUGUUUUUUUUGUACUUGCUUGUUUUUUGAGUAUAUAGACAGGGGUGCUUUUAGAUGCGGGCAUAUUUUUUUGUGUACCUUCUGUUUUUCUUUUGAUGUAUUCCAGCCACUUGAUCCCUAACCAUGUCUCUGGCAAACCACACUGAGUUCAAAAGCUCGUUCUUUCACAUAGAGCUGUACAUACUGACCACAGGAGGCUGCUGAGGGGAGAACACCUCAUAAUAAUGUCCAGAACAGAAACAGAGCAGAUGGAAUGGCAUCAAACACCUGGAAACCAUGUGUUUUGAUGUAUUUGUUACCAUUCCAAUUAUUCUGCUCCGGUCAUUAUCACGAGCCCAUCCGCCCCAUUUAAGGUGCCACCAACCUCCUUUGAUACUGACUCAGUAAAAUGUUCUCCAAUGUCGUUUGAAAUGUGUCUUGGCUUCGUUUGAGCUCUUGUUGUAAGCUGAAGAAUGUUGGAAUGUUAAUGUUGCUUCCUUGCUGUUGUGUUUCCUUGUUAAACUUGUACCAUGUUGUAGUGUAAACAUCUCUGCUAACACCUGUGUUCAUUUAACAGCUGCAGGGCUAGGAUGGGAGUGGUGUAAAGGUACAGGCGGCCCAACCACAUGCUAGAGAAGAGGCAGUCGGGCAGGUGAUCUGUGUGUCAUAACCUCUAGAAGACCUGUGAGGUGUGUGUGUGCUCAUGUGUUUGUCUCUGUGAGAAUGGUUGCGGAGGAGUUGAGAUCAGAUGUCCCACACACCAAUCAACCAGUGCUUUCCAACCAGUCCCAAGUCCCCUGUCUGGUAGAGAGCAGGACAGACUGGGUGAAGAGAUUGCUAGCACACAGAGAUACUGCACAUACAGAUAUACUGUAACCAUGGUAACACUGGAGAACAAUUGGGCCUUCUGGAGGGAAUGUCUUUUAAGAAACAGCACAAGUUCUACAAGAAAGUUUCUUCCAAAGCAACCUUGACUUGUUUCAUGUCAGUUACUUUUAUCUCUGGAUGUGCCACAAGAACUUGAUCAAUAAACACACCAUCCUAUAGGCCACAAGUCCAAAGUGGUUAUGAUAGCCUUCUUCCUUUCCUGAUGCUCUUCAGAAAUAUUAAAUAGUUUUUCUUUUGUAAAGAUAAGUUGUGUCCUCUGGUUCAUGAUAAUAUGCAACUAUCAUCACUUAUUUUAAGGCUUUCAGACUUUUAAAAAAUGAUUUCCUGGUUAUUCUAUUUGAAAGGAGCAAUAAUCAAAUGCCUAAUUACCUGCAUCAGUUUUUUAUAUUGUGUUGUAACAGUCUUGUAAGAGUGUAGAUACUUUUAAAAAGCGUUUUAGCAAUUAUUUUAUUGCAUAAAUAAAAGGAAACAUCAAAUGUU